GUCAGGAUGGCCGAGCGGUCUAAGGCGCCAGACUCAAGGUUAUGUUCCUUCUCAGCUAAGCUGAGUGGUGUGAGGCUUCUGGUCCUCUCUGAGGGCGUGGGUUCGAAUCCCACUUCUGACA
Molecule: transfer RNA, 121 nt
Filed under: Cotesia glomerata
Lineage: Eukaryota; Metazoa; Arthropoda; Insecta; Hymenoptera; Braconidae
Description: tRNA-Leu
Rfam family: tRNA
About the family: Transfer RNA (tRNA) molecules are approximately 80 nucleotides in length. Their secondary structure includes four short double-helical elements and three loops (D, anti-codon, and T loops).
Source: RNAcentral